CCUACGGGUGGCAGCAGUGGGGAAUAUUGCGCAAUGGGCGAAAGCCUGACGCAGCGACGCCGCGUGAGGGAUGAAGGUCUUCGGAUCGUAAACCUCUGUCAGCAGGGAAGAACGGUCAGUGUGCUAAUCAGCAGUGAAUUGACGGUACCUGCAAAGGAAGCACCGGCUAACUCCGUGCCAGCAGCCGCGGCAAUACGGAGGGUGCGAGCGUUAAUCGGAAUUACUGGGCGUAAAGCGCUCGUAGGCGGGAUGUCAAGUCAAGGGUGAAAUCCCCGGGCUCAACGUGGGAACUGCCUUUGAAACUGGCAGACUGGAGUGUGUGAGAGGAUAGUGGAAUUCCAGGUGUAGGAGUGAAAUCCGUAGAUAUCUGGAGGAACACCAGUGGCGAAGGCGACUAUCUGGCACAUAACUGACGCUGAGGAGCGAAAGCGUGGGUAGCAAACAGGAUUAGAUACCCCUGUAGUC
This 465-nucleotide ribosomal RNA is filed under the name uncultured bacterium. Its description in RNAcentral is "partial 16S ribosomal RNA". It matches the Rfam family "Bacterial small subunit ribosomal RNA", at positions 338 to 795 of the family's 1533-position model. The record is from RNAcentral.